Molecule: ribosomal RNA, 497 nt
Filed under: uncultured bacterium
Lineage: Bacteria
Description: partial 16S ribosomal RNA
Rfam family: Bacterial small subunit ribosomal RNA
Source: RNAcentral
GAUGAACGCUGGCGGCGUGCCUAAUACAUGCAAGUCGAGCGAACAGACGAGGAGCUUGCUCCUCUGACGUUAGCGGCGGACGGGUGAGUAACACGUGGAUAACCUACCUAUAAGACUGGGAUAACUUCGGGAAACCGGAGCUAGUACCGGAUAAUAUAUUGAACCGCAUGGUUCAAUAGUGAAGGACGGUUUUGCUGUCACUUAUAGAUGGAUCCGCGCCGCAUUAGCUAGUUGGUAAGGUAACGGCUUACCAAGGCGACGAUGCGUAGCCGACCUGAGAGGGUGAUCGGCCACACUGGAACUGAGACACGGUCCAGACUCCUACGGGAGGCAGCAGUAGGGAAUCUUCCGCAAUGGGCGAAAGCCUGACGGAGCAACGCCGCGUGAGUGAUGAAGGUCUUCGGAUCGUAAAACUCUGUUAUUAGGGAAGAACAAAUGUGUAAGUAACUAUGCACGUCUUGACGGUACCUAAUCAGAAAGCCACGGCUAACUACGUG